RNAcentral lists this ribosomal RNA (441 nucleotides) under Alloyangia pacifica. RNAcentral describes it as "bacterial SSU rRNA". It matches the Rfam family "Bacterial small subunit ribosomal RNA", at positions 38 to 524 of the family's 1533-position model. Lineage: Bacteria; Pseudomonadati; Pseudomonadota; Alphaproteobacteria; Rhodobacterales; Roseobacteraceae. The record is from RNAcentral.
GCAAGGCGGGCAGCUACACAUGCAAGUCGAGCGAAGCCUUCGGGCUUAGCGGCGGACGGGUGAGUAACGCGUGGGAACGUGCCCUUCACUACGGAAUAGUCCCGGGAAACUGGGUUUAAUACCGUAUACGCCCUUCGGGGGAAAGAAUUUCGGUGAAGGAUCGGCCCGCGUUAGAUUAGGUAGUUGGUGGGGUAAUGGCCUACCAAGCCUACGAUCUAUAGCUGGUUUGAGAGGAUGAUCAGCCACACUGGGACUGAGACACGGCCCAGACUCCUACGGGAGGCAGCAGUGGGGAAUCUUAGACAAUGGGGGCAACCCUGAUCUAGCCAUGCCGCGUGAGUGAUGAAGGCCUUAGGGUCGUAAAGCUCUUUCGCUGGGGAAGAUAAUGACGGUACCCAGUAAAGAAACCCCGGCUAACUCCGUGCCAGCAGCCGCGGUAAU